Scylla paramamosain (green mud crab) is the source of this 1177-nucleotide long non-coding RNA. RefSeq lists it as uncharacterized. The transcript has 3 exons. NCBI's taxonomy places the organism in Eukaryota, Metazoa, Arthropoda, Malacostraca, Decapoda, Portunidae. The record is from RefSeq and is a predicted model, not a curated record.
AGUCACGUGCUUCCCUUGGUGCCUCCAAACCAGACACUGCCAACAGAUUACCACAAGACAAAAAAAUGCAAAGGCAUUGAUGAACUGUUGCAAAAAAAGUGCCGUGAAAAUAAUGUGAACUAAUUUGAAAAGGCCGACAUGCAGUGUUGUGGCGCGGGUGUGUUGGAUGCAGCCAAGAGCUGUGCUGUGCCUCCGUCAACGCUUCACGCCCCGGCUGGGAAUCCUGAAUCCAAGCAUCCCUCUACGCUCCGCCAGACAAGAAUACGUCGUUAAUUGAGGAUUUUCCUGAAUUCUAGUCCGUUGAUUUUCCAUGUGGCCGCUUGCAGUUUACGCGGAGUCGUGGCGAUCUGCUCCGUCCACUCCCUGCCUGUGUCUCGGGGUUAGACAUGUAAGGAAAGUGCAAUAUGGUGACUGGAGGCAAGGAGAUGUGAUGCUGAUUUGCUUUGUUCGAGUAUCUUACGUGACUUGUUGUGAUGUGACUGUGUGGAGCUUGUGGGGCGGUAAGACCUUGUGUGUGUGUAAUAAUAAUAAUAAUAAUAAACGGUUUAUUCUUUAGGCAUGUGUGUGUGUGUGUAUGUGUGUGUGUGUGUGUGUGUGUGUGUGUGUGUGUGUGUGUGUGUGUAUCGGAAGGGUGUUGCAUUAUUAUCCUUGUGCAAAACGUGUUAUGGUUUGCAACGGUGUCAAAUAUCAGUGUUUCUUAAUUGAUACCGGCAGGUUGUAGCGGAGCCUCUGUUACGUGAGAUACUGCAGAGAGUAUUUUACCAAUUGCAUCUGGCCUCUGGUAAUACGAAUGCUCUGUUGUAAGUCUUUCGAAUUCAAGCACUUUUCUCCGACAAAUAAUCCAAUAAAGGAAACAAAAAGCACUAAACUUUGACAUUUUAUGAAAGCGAUACAAGCACACCCAUCAAAUAUUAUCACGAAUUCCUGUUGUUGUGUAAAAUGACGAGUUGUUUCAUCGAUGCUAACCUGAGAACCUUUACGUGCUCAGCCUCAACAAUUAACACGUAAAUCUGAGGUGUUUUGUCGAUGGCUCGUGGGAUUUGAAGCUGCACGUCAGGAUGAACUGGGCACGUAUCCUAAACAAAUAUCUUUCUUCGUGCUUUGAUAAAGUAAAUGAGUGACAAGAACUCUACUACGUCUUGACUACACACACACACACACACACACACACACACAC